GGGGAAUUAGCUUAAUAGGUAGAGCAUCUGUUUUGCAUACAGAAGGUUAACGGUUCAAUUCCGUUAUUCUCCA
This 73-nucleotide transfer RNA is filed under the name Candidatus Shikimatogenerans bostrichidophilus. RNAcentral describes it as "tRNA-Ala". It matches the Rfam family "tRNA". From Rfam's summary of the family: Transfer RNA (tRNA) molecules are approximately 80 nucleotides in length. Their secondary structure includes four short double-helical elements and three loops (D, anti-codon, and T loops). Further hydrogen bonds mediate the characteristic L-shaped molecular structure. tRNAs have two regions of fundamental functional importance: the anti-codon, which is responsible for specific mRNA codon recognition, and the 3' end, to which the tRNAs corresponding amino acid is attached (by aminoacyl-tRNA synthetases). tRNAs cope with the degeneracy of the genetic code in two manners: having more than one tRNA (with a specific anti-codon) for a particular amino acid; and 'wobble' base-pairing, i.e. permitting non-standard base-pairing at the 3rd anti-codon position. Lineage: Bacteria; Pseudomonadati; Bacteroidota; Flavobacteriia; Flavobacteriales. The record is from RNAcentral.